RNAcentral lists this long non-coding RNA (320 nucleotides) under Capsicum annuum. RNAcentral describes it as "long non-coding RNA (CANN_LNC004963)". Lineage: Eukaryota; Viridiplantae; Streptophyta; Magnoliopsida; Solanales; Solanaceae. The record is from RNAcentral.
CAAACUCCCUCGAACCUACCAAAUACGACACAAGUUUCAUAAAUUGUUGUACAACCAAUCCAAACCCAAAUUUAAUAGACCAAGUCCAACAUAGAAUUUUUGUUGUAUACUAACCAUGAUGCUAUAAUUUUACCUAGCAUCACUCCUUCAUUUAUGCAGAUUCCUGAACAAACAAUCUCAAAUGAGGAUGUAAGGAUAAUGCUUUGUGAAAAUAAGCUUAAAGGCCUAACAGAAUUCUUACCAAAGGAUUCCAAAAUUGAGAGGUGCAAUGACAAGUUGAUAAAUAAGUUGGAUUUGAGGAUGGAUCCUUUUCAAGAAAG